RNAcentral lists this ribosomal RNA (492 nucleotides) under uncultured bacterium. RNAcentral describes it as "partial 16S ribosomal RNA". It matches the Rfam family "Bacterial small subunit ribosomal RNA", at positions 30 to 507 of the family's 1533-position model. The record is from RNAcentral.
AUUGAACGCUGGCGGUAGGCCUAACACAUGCAAGUCGAACGGCAGCACAGUAAGAGCUUGCUCUUACGGGUGGCGAGUGGCGGACGGGUGAGGAAUACAUCGGAAUCUACUUUUUCGUGGGGGAUAACGUAGGGAAACUUACGCUAAUACCGCAUACGACCUACGGGUGAAAGCAGGGGAUCUUCGGACCUUGCGCGAUUGAAUGAGCCGAUGUCGGAUUAGCUAGUUGGCGGGGUAAAGGCCCACCAAGGCGACGAUCCGUAGCUGGUCUGAGAGGAUGAUCAGCCACAAUGGAACUGAGGCACGGUCCAGACUCCUACGGGAGGCAGCAGUGGGGAAUAUUGGACCAUGGGCGCAAGCCUGAUCCAGCCAUACCGCGUGGGUGAAGAAGGCCUUCGGGUUGUAAAGCCCUUUUGUUGGGAAAGAAAAGCAGCAGGUUAAUACCCCGCUGUUCUGACGGUACCCAAAGAAUAAGCACCGGCUAACUUCGUG